GGCGCUGUAGUGUAGCGGUUAUCACUCGAGAUUCUGAGGGGAUGCGAAGAGAUAAAAAACAAAAACCUUCUCGAAACCCAGGUUCGAUUCCUGGCAGUGCCU
Leucogyrophana mollusca is the source of this 102-nucleotide non-coding RNA. The record is from the annotation of a GenBank genome assembly. Lineage: Eukaryota; Fungi; Basidiomycota; Agaricomycetes; Boletales.